AGGAGCAGUAGGGAAUCUUCGGCAAUGGACGAAAGUCUGACCGAGCAACGCCGCGUGAGUGAAGAAGGUUUUCGGAUCGUAAAACUCUGUUGUUAGAGAAGAACAAGGAUGAGAGUAACUGUUCAUCCCUUGACGGUAUCUAACCAGAAAGCCACGGCUAACUACGUGCCAGCAGCCGCGGUAAUACGUAGGUGGCAAGCGUUGUCCGGAUUUAUUGGGCGUAAAGCGAGCGCAGGCGGUUUCUUAAGUCUGAUGUGAAAGCCCCCGGCUCAACCGGGGAGGGUCAUUGGAAACUGGGAGACUUGAGUGCAGAAGAGGAGAGUGGAAUUCCAUGUGUAGCGGUGAAAUGCGUAGAUAUAUGGAGGAACACCAGUGGCGAAGGCGGCUCUCUGGUCUGUAACUGACGCUGAGGCUCGGAAGCGUGGGGAGCAAACAGGAUUAGAUACCCUGGUAGUCCACGCCGUAAACGAUGAGUGCUAAGUGUUGGAGGGUUUCCGCCCUUCAGUGCUGCAGCUAACGCAUUAAGCACUCCGCCUGGGGAGUACGACCCCCGGGGUUGAGAAA
Molecule: ribosomal RNA, 564 nt
Filed under: Streptococcus sp.
Lineage: Bacteria; Bacillati; Bacillota; Bacilli; Lactobacillales; Streptococcaceae
Description: bacterial SSU rRNA
Rfam family: Bacterial small subunit ribosomal RNA
Source: RNAcentral